This 408-nucleotide unclassified non-coding RNA is filed under the name Hevea brasiliensis (rubber tree). The record is from RNAcentral. Lineage: Eukaryota; Viridiplantae; Streptophyta; Magnoliopsida; Malpighiales; Euphorbiaceae.
GAAGUGGCGGUGGCAUUUCGGAGUUUGAUGAGGCUGAGGUUAUGCUUAGCUUGUUGACUGAGGAUGUGGAUGAGGAGGUGUUUGGUGUGAGAGAGAGGAAUGGAAGGUCGUCUAAGAGGAUAGACACGGAGAAAAGGAAAAAUGGGGGUGUGAGUAAUUAUGUUGGUAAGAAGAAGAGGGACGAAUCGGGUGCUAUAGGGAGUAUGUCGAAGUAUAAAUAUGAAUAUGAAGUGAUUCUUUCGAGGAAGGAGGAGAAGAGAAGGGAAGAAGAGAGGUCGUCAUUGUUAAGGAGAGAGAGGCGAAGGACAAAUCAUAAAGAGGAUGAAAGAGCUUCUUUAUUGAGGGAGAAUCAGAGAGCUCGGACAAGAGAAGAAGAGAGGGAAGCAUUGGUUAGGAGGGAGAACCGAG